Molecule: ribosomal RNA, 394 nt
Filed under: uncultured bacterium
Lineage: Bacteria
Description: bacterial SSU rRNA
Rfam family: Bacterial small subunit ribosomal RNA
Source: RNAcentral
AUGGCUGUCGUCAGCUCGUGCUGUGAAGUGUCGGGUUAAGUCCCUUAACGAGCGCAACCCCUAUCGUUAGUUACUAACGCGUUAUGGCGAGGACUCUAGCGAGACUGCCGGUGUCAAACCGGAGGAAGGUGGGGAUGACGUCAAGUCCUCAUGGCCUUUAUGCCCAGGGAUGCAAACGUGCUACAAUGGUACGGACAAAGCGAUGCGAUACCGCGAGGUGGAGCAAAUCGCAAAAACCGUGCCCCAGUUCGGAUAGCAGGCUGCAAUUCGCCUGCUUGAAGCCGGAAUCGCUAGUAAUCGCGUAUCAGCUACGACGCGGUGAAUACGUUCCUGAGCCUUGUACACACCGCCCGUGGGGCGGGGGCGGCGGGCCGGGCGCGGGGCGCGGCGGGCG